RNAcentral lists this non-coding RNA (28 nucleotides) under Homo sapiens (human). The record is from RNAcentral. Lineage: Eukaryota; Metazoa; Chordata; Mammalia; Primates; Hominidae.
GUGAGGGGAUGUGAUGGGACUCACGUGC